This 235-nucleotide long non-coding RNA is filed under the name Helianthus annuus (common sunflower). RNAcentral describes it as "hypothetical non coding rna". The record is from RNAcentral. Lineage: Eukaryota; Viridiplantae; Streptophyta; Magnoliopsida; Asterales; Asteraceae.
UCUUGAUAAAAUUUUUCCAACUAAUUUGAAUCAUUUAAAUUUCUUUGAUAGUGUUGAUACAUUAACAGCCUGUCCUACUGUUCCCGAUGAUGAAGAGGGGGGAGUCAUGAAUCUCAUGAGGUUACUGGUGGUGAUCAGCAACCAAUCCCCUCUACAUCUGCCGUUCCAAGAAAUGUUAAUGUUGACCCUCAGCAUUCUACUCUUGGAACUGAAAGUAGUAGUAGUGAAGGAUCUG